GCCCGGGUGGCGAAAUUGGCAGACGCGCCAGACUUAGGAUCUGGAGCCCGCAAGGGCGUGGAGGUUCGAGUCCUCUCCCGGGCACCA
This 87-nucleotide transfer RNA is filed under the name Verrucomicrobiia bacterium. Its description in RNAcentral is "tRNA-Leu". It matches the Rfam family "tRNA". Rfam says of the family: Transfer RNA (tRNA) molecules are approximately 80 nucleotides in length. The record is from RNAcentral. Lineage: Bacteria; Pseudomonadati; Verrucomicrobiota; Verrucomicrobiia.